This 449-nucleotide ribosomal RNA is filed under the name uncultured bacterium. RNAcentral describes it as "bacterial SSU rRNA". It matches the Rfam family "Bacterial small subunit ribosomal RNA", at positions 28 to 471 of the family's 1533-position model. The record is from RNAcentral.
GAUGAACGCUAGCGACAGGCUUAACACAUGCAAGUCGAGGGGCAGCGGGGGUAGCAAUACCCGCCGGCGACCGGCGCACGGGUGAGUAACACGUAUCCAACCUGUCCCAUACUCGGGGAUAGCCUUUCGAAAGAAAGAUUAAUACCCGAUGGUAUCAGAUCAAGGCAUCUUGAUUUGAUUAAAGAACUUCGGUAUGGGGUGGGGAUGCGUUCCAUUAGCUUGUUGGCGGGGUAACGGCCCACCAAGGCGACGAUGGAUAGGGGUUCUGAGAGGAAGGUCCCCCCACAUUGGAACUGAGACACGGUCCAAACUCCUACGGGAGGCAGCAGUGAGGAAUAUUGGUCAAUGGACGAGAGUCUGAACCAGCCAAGUAGCGUGAAGGAUGACUGCCCUAUGGGUUGUAAACUUCUUUUAUAAGGGAAUAAAGUGCGCCACGUGUGGGUGUUUUU